CGAACCCGAGGGAACUCCAGCCGGAGAGCGGAGAGGGGCCCGGGGCAGUCGGGCCACCUGAGGUGCGGCAGUCCGAGUCCACCUCCACCAGGCCGGGGGUCCAGGUUCUGAGGAGACCCCGAACCCGCCCACACUGCCUGCAUCCCUCCUCCGGACCCCUCCGACGUUAAGGCGGCGGGUCUCCAUACCCAGGGAAACCUCCUCUACCAAUGGCAUAUUCCAUCAAUCGUGACCUGAUGUCCCAUUCGCCAGAGCACAUAGCAGGGAAGAGCACUGAGCGUCUGAGGACCCGCCUCAUGGUUUAGCGUCUCAGGGAAAUUCCCUGGCUGGAUUCUCCUGGCCAGGUCACUUUGGUUAAAAUGUAGCUGGAUCUAUAAAUACAGUGUGGAAUGUCCCCAUAGUGGGAAUUCCUGCAUCCAGGCAUAACCAGCAGAAGAAACUCUUCAAACUAUGCAUUAUGAGCAGGUAACUUCUUCGCCUGUUGGCUGGCUCUGGGAAAAGAUGAAGAAGACAUCCUUGUCAAAUGUAGGAAUUUAAACUCCACAGAAGAAAACUCAAAUUACCAACCUACAAGGUAAAUAAGGAAACAGAGGCUCAGGAAGAUGAAGCAACUUCUCCAAGGCCCACUGCAGAAUCUUCUUGGGCCAUUACUCCCUCGGAGAGAAGCAAAUCCUUCAUAGGGAAUGCUGGAUGUGCCUGUGACAAACUAUUAACACAAGAAAACAGAAGGAUAUGGUGAAACCAAGAGACUAGCUGCUAAGAAACACAUGGGAUGUUGCCCUGCAGAGUGCCCUGGGAUCUCUUCUUGAAGGGACCAACUGCCCUGAAGCCAGGUGUUUUUCUUGGGAUUCUUGGACUGGAGUUGUCACUCAGGUCGAUUUCAGCUGUGCCUGCGAUGACCAGUUCCAGUUCUCUUGCAUCAAAAACAGACACCAGCCUGGCAUCCACCACCUGUGGAAUAAAAAGAAUGCAGGGCAUGGCUUAUGAAUCAGGAGAAAUC
This is a long non-coding RNA of Zalophus californianus (California sea lion), 1000 nucleotides long. RefSeq lists it as uncharacterized. NCBI's taxonomy places the organism in Eukaryota, Metazoa, Chordata, Mammalia, Carnivora, Otariidae. The transcript is spliced from 8 exons. The record is from RefSeq and is a predicted model, not a curated record.